Molecule: ribosomal RNA, 774 nt
Filed under: uncultured bacterium
Lineage: Bacteria
Description: bacterial SSU rRNA
Rfam family: Bacterial small subunit ribosomal RNA
Source: RNAcentral
AGAGUUUGAUCAUGGCUCAGAACGAACGCUGGCGGCGUGGAUAAGACAUGCAAGUCGAACGGAGCAUUCUGGUAGCAAUAUCAGGAUGCUUAGUGGCAAACGGGUGCGUAACACGUGGAUAACAUUCCAGAAAGCGCGGGAUAGCCCAGGGAAACUUGGAUUAAUACCGCAUGUGGUCGCAAGACUAAAGGCGCAAGCCGCUUUCUGAUUGGUCCGCGGCCUAUCAGCUAGUUGGUGAGGUAAAAGCUCACCAAGGCAACGACGGGUAGCUGGUCUGAGAGGACGACCAGCCACACUGGAACUGAGACACGGUCCAGACACCUACGGGUGGCAGCAGUCGAGAAUCUUUCACAAUGGGGGCAACCCUGAUGGAGCGACGCCGCGUGGAGGAUAAGGUCUUCGGAUUGUAAACUCCUGUCAUGCGAGAGCAAGACAUGGCAACAUGUUUGAUAGUAUCGCAAGAGGAAGAGACGGCUAACUCUGUGCCAGCAGCCGCGGUAAUACAGAGGUCUCAAGCGUUGUUCGGAAUCACUGGGCGUAAAGGGUGCGUAGGCUGCGGAGAAAGUCUGGUGUGAAAUUUGCGAGCUCAACUCGCAACUAGCACCUGAUACUACUUUGCUAGAGAUCUGGAGAGGAGCUUGGAAUUCUCGGUGUAGCAGUGAAAUGCGUAGAUUUCGAGAAGAACGCUCGCUGCGAAAGCGAAGCUCUGGCCAGAUUCUGACGCUGAGGCACGAAGGCUAGGGGAGCAAACGGGAUUAGAUACCCCGGUAGUCC